This is a long non-coding RNA of Argiope bruennichi, 641 nucleotides long. RefSeq lists it as uncharacterized. The record is from RefSeq and is a predicted model, not a curated record. Lineage: Eukaryota; Metazoa; Arthropoda; Arachnida; Araneae; Araneidae. The transcript is spliced from 5 exons.
AGGUGCUGUCGGCAUUGUGUUUUACUGAGAUGAAAAAGAAAAACCUGCUCACAUCAAGAAGGAGCAGUUGCAAUGAAUAAUAAUAAUAAUGAUUCGGACUCUGAUAGAGAGGGAAGAAGAAAAAAUUUUAAACAUUUAAACCAAGCGGCACAAAACAAAAUUUAUCAAGACCUUAUAUCAAUGAUAAGAUUUUUUAUUAGGCACAAGUAUGUAUAAGUCAACCUUCUAACUCUCCGACCCGCCCUAAGGCACACGGAUUUAAACCAUAAAACUGAAUGACCGGACCGCCGCAACAGCAAUUGGCGGGAACUGUGGUUGAGUCCUAAGGGCCGUCACCGGCCACGGUACAACCCUCCCCGAAGGAAGUACGUCCCGUCAUCGAUGGGGGGAGUCAGAUCCCCCACCUAUUAGUGUACCCUCCAGGGUGGCGAGAUCCAACCACCAUGCCGGAAGCAUCUCAUCCUCAUUUCGAGGUGCUCCCCCGAGGGUCCACACAAACGUAAAAGACUUGAUAAUAACAAGCAGAAAUAUAGAGGCACUGGAGACUUUUACGAAGAUUUUCAAAGAAUUUAAAAAUAAAUGAUAAUAACAAGCAGACAUAUAGAGGCACUGGAGACUUUUACAAAUAAGAUUUUCAAAGA